RNAcentral lists this ribosomal RNA (658 nucleotides) under uncultured Fibrobacter sp. Its description in RNAcentral is "bacterial SSU rRNA". It matches the Rfam family "Bacterial small subunit ribosomal RNA", at positions 163 to 823 of the family's 1533-position model. Lineage: Bacteria; Pseudomonadati; Fibrobacterota; Fibrobacteria; Fibrobacterales; Fibrobacteraceae. The record is from RNAcentral.
UUAAUGCCCAGGAGAGUGGCAGUCCACAUGGACUGUUGACUGGAGAUUUAUCGGUGUGGGAUGAGCUUGCGUCCGAUUAGCUAGUUGGCGGGGCAACGGCCCACCAAGGCGACGAUCGGUAGCCGGCCUGAGAGGGUGAUCGGCCACAUUGGGACUGAGAUACGGCCCAGACUCCUACGGGAGGCAGCAGUAGGGAAUAUUGCACAAUGGGGGAAACCCUGAUGCAGCAACGCCACGUGUGGGAAGAAGCAUUUCGGUGUGUAAACCACUGUCGUGAGGGAAUAAUGCUUGGCCUCGGCCAAGUUGAAUGUACCUCGAAAGGAAGCACCGGCAAACUUCGUGCCAGCAGCCGCGGNAAUACGAGGGGUGCAAGCGUUGUUCGGAAUCACUGGGCGUAAAGGGAGCGCAGGCGGAGAUGCAAGCAGUCUGUACAAUACCGGGGCCCAACCCCGGACCUGCAGACUGGACUGUUUCUCUUGGAUAGUUCAGGGGCAAGCGGAAUUCCUGGUGUAGCGGUGGAAUGCGUAGAGAUCAGGAAGAACACCGAUGGCGAAGGCAGCUUGCUGGGGACUUAUCGACGCUCAUGCUCGAAAGUGCGGGUAGCAAACAGGAUUAGAUACCCUGGUAGUCCGCACCGNAAACNAUGCAUACUGGGUGU